CUUACUUUUUAUUCCCCCGUUUCUCCAGCUUUUGCGACCACAUGCGCGCCGCGCAUAUCUCCUCUAUCUAUAUUCCCUAUCGUUUGUGGACAGACGCAGAUUCGCGUUGCGACGUUGCUGCAAAAGUCAACGC
Molecule: non-coding RNA, 133 nt
Organism: Caenorhabditis elegans
Lineage: Eukaryota; Metazoa; Nematoda; Chromadorea; Rhabditida; Rhabditidae
Source: Ensembl